Molecule: unclassified non-coding RNA, 346 nt
Filed under: soil metagenome
Description: partial contains 5.8S ribosomal RNA, internal transcribed spacer 2, and large subunit ribosomal RNA
Rfam family: 5.8S ribosomal RNA (bases 1-120)
Source: RNAcentral
GAUGAAGAACGCAGCAAAAUGCGAUAAGUAAUGUGAAUUGCAGAAUUCAGUGAAUCAUCGAAUCUUUGAACGCACAUUGCGCCCGCUGGUAUUCCGGCGGGCAUGCCUGUUCGAGCGUCAUUUCAACCCUCAAGCCCCCGGGUUUGGUGUUGGGGAUCGGCUCUGCCUUCUGGCGGUGCCGCCCCCGAAAUACAUUGGCGGUCUCGCUGCAGCCUCCAUUGCGUAGUAGCUAACACCUCGCAACUGGAACGCGGCGCGGCCAUGCCGUAAAACCCCAACUUCUGAAUGUUGACCUCGGAUCAGGUAGGAAUACCCGCUGAACUUAAGCCUAUCAAUAAGCGGAGGA